RNA transcript from Ailuropoda melanoleuca (giant panda), 3546 nucleotides. It is a transcript of the gene named interleukin 22 receptor subunit alpha 1, with no coding region annotated. The transcript is spliced from 10 exons. The record is from RefSeq and is a predicted model, not a curated record. Lineage: Eukaryota; Metazoa; Chordata; Mammalia; Carnivora; Ursidae.
CCCGGCGCUGCGGAGGCGGCAAAGCCUCCCAGCCCUCCAUCUGUGCUCAGCCCAGCGCCGAGGCCAAAGAGGGCUCUGAGCCCGGCCCCAUGAGGACGCUACUGACCAUCCUGGCCGCGGGAUCCCUGGCCGCUCACAUGGUGGAGGACACCUCGAAUCUGCUCCAGCACGUAAAAUUCCAGUCCAGUAACUUCGAAAACAUCCUGACGUGGGACAGCGGGCUGGAGAGCGCCCCGGACACAGUCUACAGUGUGGAGUAUAAAAGGUACGGAGAGAGAGAGUGGCUGGCGAAGGAGGGCUGCCAGAGGGUCACCCGGAAAUCCUGCAACCUGACCGCGGAGACGGGCAACGUCACGGAGCUCUACUACGCCCGGGUAACUGCCACCAGCGUGGGAGGCCGGUCAGCCACCAAGAUGACCGAUCGGUUCAGCUCGCUGCAACACACUACCAUCAAACCACCGGACGUGACCUGUAUCCCCAAGGUGAGAUCCAUCCAGAUGAUUGUCCAUCCCACCUCCACGCCUAUCUGCGCCAGGGAUGGCCACCGGCUAAUCCUGGAGGACAUCUUCCCUGACCUAUUCUACCGCUUAGAGCUCCAGGUCAACCACACCUACCAAAUGCACCUUGGAGGGAAGCAGAGAGACUACGAGUUCAUUGGCCUGACGCCUGACACAGAGUUCCUUGGGACCAUCAUGAUUUUUGUUCCAACCUGGUCCAAAGAGAGCGCUCCCUACGUGUGCCGAGUAAAGACCCUGCCAGAUCGGACGUGGACAUACUCCUUCUCAGGCGCCUUCCUGUUCUCCGCGGGCUUCCUCGUCGCGGGGCUGUGCUACCUGAGUUACAGAUACGUCACCAAGCCGCCUCCACCUCCCGACUCCCUGAACGUCCAGAGAGUACUGACCUUCCAGCCUCUGCGGUUCAUCCAGGAGCACGUGCUGAUCCCUGUCUUUGACCUCAGCAGCCCCAGCAGUCUGGCCCAGCCCGUCCAGUACUCCCAAGUCAAGGUCUCCGGGCCCAGGGAGCCCCCAGGAGCCCCGCCACUGCACAGCCUGUCCGAAAUCGCGUAUCUCGGGCAGCCAGACAUCAUCCUCCGGCCCUCUGGAGUGCCAGCUCACCAGACGCUCUCCCCACAGUCCUACGCACCCCAGGCCACCCCCGAAGUCAGGCCCCCUUCCUAUGCACCGCAAGUAACCCCCGAAGCCAAAACUCCAUUCUACACUGCACAGGCCGUGUCCGAGGUCCAGCCUCUCUCCUACACCCCUCAGACCACUCCAGCCUGCUGGCCUUCCUAUGGGACCUGCGGGGAAGGCUCUGGCGAAGACUCCCCACCUGUAACACUCUCCAGCCCCAAACACCUCAGGACUAAAGGGCUCCAAAAAAAGGCACCAGCUGGAACCUAUAUCCCAGAUGGCCUUUCUCUGCAAGGGGUGACCUCCUUGGAUAUGGAGGACCCCCAAGAAGAAAAUUUCUUCCACCAACCUGCAGGAGUUCACACGGACAGAGUACCUGACCCCAGUGUGCUACACGGAGGGGACCCAGGCACACCAUCGUACUUAAAGGGCCAGCUUCCCCUCCUCUCCUCUGUCCAGAUCGAGGGCCACCCGGUAUCCCUCCCUUUGCACACUCCUUCCCUCCCAUGUUCCCCCACAGACCAGGAACCAAGUCCCUGGGGCCUGCUGGAGUCCCUCGUGUGUCCCAAGGACGAGGGUCGCGUGCCUGAGAUGGAGGCCCAGAGCCCAGGCUCUCAGGCCUCAGACCUGGAGCAGCCCACAGAACUGGACUCUCUCUUCAGAGGCCUGGCCCUGACCGUGCAGUGGGAGGCCUGAGCAGAGAACAGGGCAGGCCUGGGGCUCCCUCCCUGUCCCCACCCAAGCUCACAUCGUUGGCCAUCGCUCCGCCUCAGGGGAAUUCCCUUGAAAGAACCAAAGGAAAGAGGGACCCGGGGCCCCUGCCACGGCUGAGCUAUGGUUGGAGCAAAACGGCAUGCUGAGGACUCCAGCCAGAGGGGUUCCGGGUACGCCUCAUGUGCCGAUGAGCUCUGCGGGGCAGGAGGGGACAGUCUGAGUGCCGGGCGUUAAUGCAGGGAGACUUCACAGAGAUCCAGCGCCCCAGCUCCUGAGAUGCUGGACACAAAGUUCUCCACCUCACUCCCGGCCAGUUUCAUAACCUAGUUCGACAGAGAGUGAGGUCUCUGCCUCCUCUGUGUUCCCCUGUCCUGAGAAACAGAGCCUGGAAAGGACGCCUCCCAGCCGGCUGGGCAGCACCAGAACAACCGCACUGCUGUCAAGGCCAGAGGCAGCACGACGGCAAGACGCCAGGGACGGGUGCGGCCUGGGGUUCAGUCCCGACCCAGCCGCUGUCGGAAAUCACAGCAUCUCAACUGUGCUUCUCUGCUAGAGGCUGUACCCCAGGUGAAACGCAGGUCAGCCGGGGGGAGAACACACGAGCCCUUUCUGCCGGCAGAAGCUGUGGACCCCUCCUGAGAGCAGGGUUCGUAAGGAAAGGGGGGCCACGUGGCCUCUGAAGUAGACACAACGAGAAGGAGCACACACUGUACGACUUUGAAAACUCAGCCUUGGGUUCAGCUCAUCUGGGUUCCGAUUUCACUUACCAGCUGUAUGACUUCAAGCCAAUGAAUCACUGCUCGAAAUCUCGGUUUCUUCAUCUGUAAAAUGGGGAUGGUAACACCUACUUCACGGGGUUGUGGCCUGAGCAUCAGCCUGAAUGAGGAGGCUAGGACCACGUGUCACCGACAAGCCUGGUCCCCUGUUGCUGUCCCCACCCUCCGUUCCAGAAAAUGAGACAGAAAUGAUCAGCGAAGGCCAGCAUCAUUGAGCCCACUGUACAGAUAACAGAGGCAGAAUGGUGGAGUGACUUACCCAAGGUCCUACAGCAAAGUUGUCCCCGAGGCACUAGGAAGAGUGACAGGCACGGUGUUGCUGGCCCCCUGAGGCCCCAGGAGGAGGCCAGGGAGGGGAGCUGUGCUCUCUGGACCAGCGCUGGCACCCCCUUCCUCAAACCUGCUCAGCCCUGAGACCUGGCUCAGGUGCACCAUCCUGAUCGCCCCCCCCCACCCCGUAACUGCCUGUCUCUCCACCUAAACUAAGCCUUCCUCCACACCGUGGGUGCUGUGCCCUCCUGCCGGCAAAGGGUGGGUGUGGCUGACCGUGGGGGGAAGAACUGAGGUACGGAGGGGGUGUGGCAACGGCUGCGGAGACCGGGUGGCCACUCUGGAAGCCCGAGAAGUGCCCCCAGUGAAGGAAGAGGUAGCCUCCCCCCUCUCCUGCCCGGGCCACAGCCCCUGCACUCGCAGGGCCUGGCACGGCAAACAAGCUGCUUCCAUCCUGGCCGGUGAUGUUGGGCAAGCAGGGGACGCUCGCUUUAGGUCACAUUCCUUCCGCUGUCUUCACGCAGUGUCCAGUCUCACAGGUCCACUGGUCACAUGGGGAUCCGAUCAGAGACGCUGGGUGUCUUCUCCAAGACACCCGUCAGAAGCCCAGCAGCAGGGAGAGCCACCCCGUACCCGCUUCCGCUACAACCAGACCU